RNAcentral lists this ribosomal RNA (429 nucleotides) under Chloroflexota bacterium. RNAcentral's name for it is "Chloroflexi bacterium partial 16S ribosomal RNA". It matches the Rfam family "Bacterial small subunit ribosomal RNA", at positions 355 to 776 of the family's 1533-position model. Lineage: Bacteria; Bacillati; Chloroflexota. The record is from RNAcentral.
UGGGGAAUAUUGCACAAUGGGCGCAAGCCUGAUGCAGCCAUGCCGCGUGUAUGAAGAAGGCCUUCGGGUUGUAAAGUACUUUCAGUCGGGAGGAAGGUGGUAAGGUUAAUAACCUUAUCAAUUGACGUUACCGACAGAAGAAGCACCGGCUAACUCCGUGCCAGCAGCCGCGGUAAUACGGAGGGUGCAAGCGUUAAUCGGAAUUACUGGGCGUAAAGCGCACGCAGGCGGUUGAUUGAGUCAGAUGUGAAAUCCCCGGGCUUAACUCGGGAAUUGCAUCUGAUACUGGUCAGCUAGAGUCUUGUAGAGGGGGGUAGAAUUCCAUGUGUAGCGGUGAAAUGCGUAGAGAUGUGGAGGAAUACCGGUGGCGAAGGCGGCCCCCUGGACAAAGACUGACGCUCAGGUGCGAAAGCGUGGGGAGCAAACAGG